Molecule: ribosomal RNA, 459 nt
Filed under: Triticum aestivum (bread wheat)
Lineage: Eukaryota; Viridiplantae; Streptophyta; Magnoliopsida; Poales; Poaceae
Description: partial small subunit ribosomal RNA
Source: RNAcentral
UUUACCGUAGCGGAUAUCUUCCAGCACUCACCCUUUGGCGACGUGUUGAACUCGUUAAAGUCUCUCUCCUUGUCAGGAGACUCUUGGCCGAACUAUGCCCGGCUCGAGCGGGAAGCGGGCGAUGAAGGAAUUCGUUGCCCACCCACCACCCACUUCAUUGCCACGGUCGAUGACUUAACCGACGUGCUCGACUUCGACUCCGAAGACAUCGACGGUAUGGACAAUGAUGUAGGAGAAGAACAGGAACCACCGCCCACGGGGCGGUGGACAGCCACCACCUCAUAUGAUAUAUAUAUGGUGGACACUCCGAAAGAAACCAAUGGCGAUGAGGCAAUGGAGGAUAACCCCUCAGGGAAGAAAGCAAAGCAUAGGCGUUGUCAACGCCACUCCGAGCCCAGCCACAACAAUACCGGCAUAGGAGAUGAAAACAAUCCGGAUGGUGCCAACUAUGAAUACAAC